GUGCAAAGGAGGUACAUGCGCCGCUGGGCGUGCCCAGUCACCCAGCGGAGCGAUUUGCCCCCGAGAGGA
RNAcentral lists this small nucleolar RNA (69 nucleotides) under Trypanosoma cruzi. RNAcentral describes it as "H/ACA snoRNA, TC10C2H2". The record is from RNAcentral. Lineage: Eukaryota; Euglenozoa; Kinetoplastea; Trypanosomatida; Trypanosomatidae.